RNAcentral lists this ribosomal RNA (323 nucleotides) under Prorocentrum minimum. RNAcentral's name for it is "partial Bacterial small subunit ribosomal RNA". It matches the Rfam family "Bacterial small subunit ribosomal RNA", at positions 1093 to 1415 of the family's 1533-position model. The record is from RNAcentral. Lineage: Eukaryota; Dinophyceae; Prorocentrales; Prorocentraceae.
CGAGCUCAACCCUUUUCUUUAUUUGCCAGCGGGUUAAGCCGGGAACUUUAAGGAUACUGCCAGUGACAAACUGGAGGAAGGCGGGGACGACGUCAAGUCAUCAUGGCCCUUACGAGUAGGGCUACACACGUGCUACAAUGGCGCAUACAAAGAGAAGCGACCUCGCGAGAGCAAGCGGACCUCAUAAAGUGCGUCGUAGUCCGGAUUGGAGUCUGCAACUCGACUCCAUGAAGUCGGAAUCGCUAGUAAUCGCGGAUCAGCACGCCGCGGUGAAUACGUUCCCGGGUCUUGUACACACCGCCCGUCACACCAUGGGAGUGGGU